AAUGAACGUUGGCGGCAUGGAUUAGGCAUGCAAGUCGGGGGAAUCCCAGCAAUGGGGGAACCGGCGUAAGGGGCAGUGAGGCAUGGGUACCUACCUUGGGGUUCGGGAUAGCCAUCAGAGAUGGUGGGUAAUACCGGAUGACGUCGUGAGACCAAAGAUUCAUCGCCCUUAGAGGGGCCCAUGUGAUAUUAGCUAGUUGGUGGGGUAACGGCCCACCAAGGCGAAGAUGUCUAGCGGGUGUGAGAGCACGACCCGCGCCACUCGCACUGAGACACUGGCGAGACACCUACGGAUGGCUGCAGUCGAGGAUCUUCGGCAAUGAGCGCAAGCUUGACCGAGCGAUGCCGCGUGAGCGAUGAAGGCCUUCGGGUUGUAAAGCUCUUUAGUGGGGGAGAAAAGCCGCAAGGUGUGAUCUAUCCCAAAAAUAAGCACGGGCUAAGUUCGUGCCAGCCGCCGCGGUAA
RNAcentral lists this ribosomal RNA (462 nucleotides) under uncultured bacterium. RNAcentral describes it as "partial 16S ribosomal RNA". It matches the Rfam family "Bacterial small subunit ribosomal RNA", at positions 29 to 523 of the family's 1533-position model. The record is from RNAcentral.